Molecule: long non-coding RNA, 1029 nt
Organism: Esox lucius (northern pike)
Lineage: Eukaryota; Metazoa; Chordata; Actinopteri; Esociformes; Esocidae
Source: Ensembl
GCUUGCUCCAGACCCUGGCGUUGUGUACCUCUUUCGUUUUUCCAACCACGGAAAUCGGUGAACCGAUCGGUGCGCUUUGAUUUUUGGUAUGGGGAUAGGUUGCGUUUAUCUGUAGUUUUGCCGCAGAUCUAGCAUACGUGAACCAGGAAACCACAGACAACUUAGACAAAAGAAACCUCGCGGUGUGAAUCUAGAUACGCGGACCCGUAUUCUUUCUGCUACUGUCGUUUGUCUUCGAACCAAACCGACCCUUCCUCGCGCAAUAAUUUCCUCCUGUUUGGAGAGGAAGGGUGUUAGCUUUUAAAGUGAAAUCUCACCAGUUCGUAUACUUUGUGGUUCGUAACGUGUUGCUCUAGCUUAUCACCCACUUUAUCAAAUUACUGAUAUCUAAAACAAAAGGACAAUCUGUAAAGUGCUGCGGUCAAUAGCGUCUCUGUGCAAUGCCCCAGUUGUUAAAUUGGAGCCCAGAUGGGGAAUAAACAAAACCGUAAUCUAUAGCACGUACUUUUAAGGAAGCAGAUCGCACGUUUAUUUAAAAUAACGCAUAGGGCAGAUUCUUCUCACGGAUUUCUCAUCUCAAAAGUACGAUAUAGCCACAGUUUCUUUGUCCCUUCUGUUUUAAACUGUAAGCCACAACGAAAAACCCUUAGCACUAGCUUUGACUGAAGCGGAAGAGGACUGUUUCGAGACGGGAUUCUGGAUUUACCCGCUGGUGGAGACAGACUGUGCGUGCGUUAGUGAGCAGAGCAGAGUAGAGGAGCGCUCACUGAGACCACCUCCCGCCGGCUUGCUGCCAUGCACCUAACCGUCUGACUGUCUCGGCAUCCGGAUCAGCUUGUUUGUCUUAACCACGCAAAACGUAGCUAACCACAAGCCUGGUACCGAUGUGGCUGAGGAGAAGAUCAGCUUGUUUGGUGUGUAUGGUCUGAGCUGGAGCCCUGCCUGCCUGCUGCCCUGCCCGGUGAAUGCGCUCCCCCACAGCUCACCAGCUGCCUUGGGCUGUGCUGCACCAGCCUCCCACUACCACAG